GAUGAAGAACGCAGCGAAAUGCGAUACGUAAUGUGAAUUGCAGAAUUCAGUGAAUCAUCGAGUCUUUGAACGCACAUUGCGCCCCCUGGUAUUCCGGGGGGCAUGCCUGUCCGAGCGUCAUUGCUGCCCUCAAGCCCGGCUUGUGUGUUGGGUCUCGUCCCCCUUCCCGGGGGGACGGGCCCGAAAGGCAGCGGCGGCACCGCGUCCGGUCCUCGAGCGUAUGGGGCUUCGUCACCCGCUCUUGUAGGCCCGGCCGGCGCUUGCCGACACAUCAAUCUUUUUUCCAGGUUGACCUCGGAUCAGGUAGGGAUACCCGCUGAACUUAAGCAUAUCAAUAAGCGGAGGA
RNAcentral lists this unclassified non-coding RNA (346 nucleotides) under soil metagenome. RNAcentral describes it as "partial contains 5.8S ribosomal RNA, internal transcribed spacer 2, and large subunit ribosomal RNA". The stretch from base 1 to 120 matches the Rfam family "5.8S ribosomal RNA", at positions 35 to 154 of the family's 154-position model. The record is from RNAcentral.